Passer domesticus (house sparrow) is the source of this 1974-nucleotide long non-coding RNA. RefSeq lists it as uncharacterized. The transcript is spliced from 3 exons. Lineage: Eukaryota; Metazoa; Chordata; Aves; Passeriformes; Passeridae. The record is from RefSeq and is a predicted model, not a curated record.
AAAAACAAACAAGUGCACAGCGGUCCAGGGUAAGAUCUUUGGACCCGUAAUUUUGCAAGCAGUAAUUUCCUUUCAAAUACGAGCACCAGGGAGUGAAAGUGAAUUUUCUCUGCACUGUAAACUUCUCCCUUGUUUUUUGUGGGGGCAAUGGGGGGAGAAGGAAGUGAACAACAGCAGAAGGAGCAAAUCUAUACUGUUGGAUCUUUUCUUAUCAGGAAAGUUCACAUAGUGUCUAAAACACUGCACAAAACAUAUCUUUCUUACCAGACACCAUGUACACCCCGUACAAAUGAAAGAGACUGCAGUGUGCAGUCUGAUAACAGAAAUCCUUACAAUGAAAGGUGUAGCACUCUUCUGCCUUUUUUGAUAUUUGCCUUGUUUGGUUAACACAAAAUUGUAAGUUAUUCACAUUAGGACUGUGCUAUGACUGAAAAUUUGAAACCUAUCUUAAUUGUUUGUAUUGUGGCAGAAAGUAAAUUUCUACCAAAAUUUUACCUUUUCUUGGGCCUAACCAACACUAACAGAGUUCAGCUUUGAUAUUUUGAUGUGUUUUGAAGAUAAACCCCUGAGUAAGCAAAAUUUUAUCUUCCCAUAUAUAAAAUAAAAAGUUUGAAAAUCUCUUAGUAGCGUUUGUCAUCUUAUCAGACUCCCAUGUUAGCAUGAUUCUGAUCAUUUGCAAAACAGAUACUGGUCUCUGCUGAUAUUAAUUAUAAUUCUGCUGAUCAUCCAGUCAUUAGCAAAUCUCUUUCAGCUUAGUCAGCAUCUCCACAAUGACUCACUGCAAGUAGUAUAUUGACUCAGUAGGAAGUGAACUCAUCAUCUUGGUCAGGGGAGAUCUGACAAAAAAUCUAGCAGCAAAUUUUGUUUUUACCUUUCCUUGUAGCCUUUUCCCCAACCUCACUCGCAUUAUGACUUACCAAUAACUGGAAACUUUUCUGUUAUAGAAUGAAGAUACGUCUGUACUUUUACUCCUGUUUUCUAUACAUGUUUUUUAUUUAAUUUACUUAAUUGCGUGACAUCAGUACAUCAGUUCUGCUCUUCAGACUUUUACCAACAGGUGUCAGCAGAACCUCAGUCUUGUGCUACGGUGAGCGUGUGCUGAGGUGUACGCAUAACUCCAGUUUCGGGGGAAUGUGACUCUCAAACUGUCUGCCCUGAUGGGUUUCUAUUUUGGAAGCACUGACUCAAGAGCCUAAGUCCUGUUGAUUUUCAGUGAUCCUUUGAUUCCUAAAUUAUGUUCAUCUAGCCUACACAUUAAUUAUAAUCCUUUUGUACUGUUUAUAGGUAAUUAAAGGAUUGCUCAUUUUUGAUCUGAUUUAUGAAGUGGCUUACAUAAUAAAAUAUGGUUUUAUUAUCUCAGUCACAGAAACUUCUACAUGGCACAGGUCUGAUCAACAUUUGAAAGUGCUAUCAAGCAAAACAAUAUUUCACUGUGGCAAACUUCUCUGUAUGCCGUGGGACAGGAUGGGUUCAUUGAAGUCAGUGUGACACUGCAGAAUCCUCCUCUGGCUUGUCCUCGUAUUGCAGACUCUGUGCAAUUCAGAUGUGGACCAGGGCAUCACUGUGCCAUUUUCCAUAUGGGGCCAGGUGGUAGAGAUGCUCCAUGCAUUUAUGAUCUACUACUUUCAAUCAAAGUGAAGAACACAAGACAACAGAGGGCCUCAAGAGUCCUAGACUGAAGGUGCUGGACAAGCUCAAGGGCCAAGGAACAGAACAGCCAGUGAUGUUAACCACAGUGACUGAAAAAAGCAGUAGCAAGGAGAGCGUAGAAGACAGAUUAAGAGCUCUGGUGAGCCAUACUGAGCUUGAGCCGAUGGCGAGACAUUCAGAGAGAAGCAGACUGAGCUUUGGGCUUGGAGCAGACGGCUGGAUUUGAGUCAUCAGUGUGAGCAGUUGGGCUUGUGUGUACAGACGACCUUCCCCAGAAGGGAGGUGCCCUUUCCAGUGGGAGGAGGGAAGCCAACCAAGACCAGA